This 720-nucleotide ribosomal RNA is filed under the name uncultured Chloroflexota bacterium. Its description in RNAcentral is "bacterial SSU rRNA". It matches the Rfam family "Bacterial small subunit ribosomal RNA", at positions 99 to 795 of the family's 1533-position model. Lineage: Bacteria; Bacillati; Chloroflexota. The record is from RNAcentral.
CGGACGGGUGAGUAACGCGUGAGAAACCUGCCCAGAAGCGGGGGAUAACACUCCCAACGGGGUGCUAAUACCGCAUGUGAUGAGCGGUUCGCAUGGACCGCUUCUCAAAGAUGGCCUCUGCUUGCAAGCUAUCGCUCCUGGAUGGUCUCGCGUCCGAUUAGCUAGUUGGCGGGGUAAUGGCCCACCAAGGCGACGAUCGGUAGCUGGUCUGAGAGGAUGGUCAGCCACACUGGGACUGAGAUACGGCCCAGACUCCUACGGGAGGCAGCAGUCGAGAGGCUUCGGCAAUGGGGGAAACCCUGACCGAGCGACGCCGCGUGGGGGAUGAAGGCCCUUGGGUUGUAAACCCCUUUCGACCGGGAAGAAUGAUCUCCGGGUGAACAAUCCGGAGACUUGACGGUACCGGUGGAAGAAGCUCCGGCUAACUCCGUGCCAGCAGCCGCGGUAACACGGGGGGAGCGAACGUUGUUCGGAAUCACUGGGCGUAAAGGGCGUGUAGGCGGUUCGGUAAGUGGGAUGUGAAAGCCCCCGGCUCACCCGGGGAACUGCAUCCCAAACUGCCGGACUUGAGUGCGGGAGAGGAUGGGGGAAUUCCUGGUGUAGCGGUGAAAUGCGUAGAUAUCAGGAGGAACACCGGUGGCGAAGGCGCCCAUCUGGCCCGUUACUGACGCUGAGGCGCGAAAGCUAGGGGAGCGAAUGGGAUUAGAUACCCCAGUAGUC